AGCCUCGUAAUGAGCACAUAGCGAACUAUUCUUUCGCCUUUUACUAAAGAAUACCGUGUGUUUGUUGCAGAAAGAGGCAUACGCCACUUUUUGGAGGGUUAAUCUUUAAUUGGAUU
Small nuclear RNA from Tripterygium wilfordii, 116 nucleotides. RefSeq annotates it as U5 spliceosomal RNA. NCBI's taxonomy places the organism in Eukaryota, Viridiplantae, Streptophyta, Magnoliopsida, Celastrales, Celastraceae. The record is from RefSeq and is a predicted model, not a curated record. The transcript has a single exon.